UCAACAACUACUUUUGAUUAUCCUAUCAAUGGCUUAGUUUGACAAACAUAAACAAUAACCAUAAUUUAGUUGAAACAUAUGCAUGACAGUUAUCAGAAAGAUAAGCUAUGAGUGUAUAAAUUCUUGUAGUAUCUCUCAAUAUACAAGCAGCAGUACAGAGCUCUGCUUAUGAGGUUACAAACAUCUUUGUAUUCACCAAAAGAUGAUCAUGAUAUUUUUAUAGCAGCUCGAAGUGCUGCCCGGCGGAGCUCAACCGGCGCGCCUCCCCCAGCAGCAGUGCCUACACUAUUCUUGAUGCAGACAAGUAUGAUGACAGUGGAGAGGCAACAUGGAGCCAGCAAUUUGAUGAGCAUUUCAAGUUCGCACCCCACCUUUUCAUGUCUCUGCUACGCUUUCUUAUUCCCACGUCCACGUGGAGAAUGUGGUUACCAGGUAGAGGUCUCCUACAAAAGAAAACUGAGUCAAAAUGCAUGCUACUACUAAUACUGUUUUCAGUACAGAAAGAACAAGCCUAAUCUUGAGAAAAUGAGUUGUGCUGAACAAGCCUAAUCCGUGUACAAAGGAGCCAAAAAAACAUGUUAACAUUACCAUCACCCGUACAAGUAAUUAAUAUAAAACUUUAUCAUGGAAAUAUUCCUAAACCUUUUCUAGGAAUUUUGAUGAGAGCUACCAGUUGAAACUAAUAUGUGUUUCUUCAUGUGCCUUUGCUUUGAAACAUCUAGUUAGCUAAGUUCAAUAGUAUGAGCAUCAGCUUAAAAAAACAGUAUGAGAAUCAAUUAUACUUCUAGCCCUUUCGAACAUCGUCAUACCAAAGUAGAAAUAAUUCUCUUGUACAAUCCAUUUAAUCUAAUAUUUUUCUUGAGUCUGCAAGAUAAAGAAUAAUGAUAUUGGGUCAUAGCCUCAUAGGCAUCAUCUAUACGUCUGCCAAAUAUUAACAACGAAUGUGUUUAACCAAGGUUAUCGCUCUGACCUUCUUUUCUAGCGACUUCUCCCAAUUGAAGUUAUUGCCCCCUUUGAUUUCCCAAUAGAAAUUCUUUGAAUCCUGCACUCGUAACACAAGUAGUUAUGCGAAUGCACACACAACACUUUGAAAUGUGAAGGGAUUAAACCCAGUUCAAAAAUAAUAAUAACCGAAUAGCAUAAGGAUGGAUGGAUGUUGUGCAACAAUAGUCAGUCAUUAUAGUAGACUAAGAAAAGAUCAUUGUUUCUGUAACAUGAUGAUAUUCAGAGGACCCAACCAUCAGUUCUUCCAACACAACCUUGAUCGCAAAAAUAUUAGCUAGCAUAAGACAGUAAUAAGAUCGCUUAAAUCAAAUUUCUGUAGAAAGAUGCCAUAUAGACCUGUGUCCUAUUAGGGACGUAUCCACUUAUUACACAUCUAAAACAGUACACAGAUUACAGUGAGUGCACAUAUUCAAAACGUCAGAAGAUCUCCAAGAUGAGAUAAGUUGACAUUCAAGUGUCCAGAAUCGGGGAAUGCUUACCUCCCGUGGUAUGCUUGGUUUCCAUGGAGCAAAUAUUACGAGCCACUGAGGGAGUUCCGGACUAGGGGGUGUCCGGAUAGCCGAACUAUCAUCAUCGGCCGGACUCCAAGACUAUGAAGAUACAAGAUUGAAGACUUCGUCCCGUGUCCGGAUGGGACUUUCCUUGGCGUGGAAGGCAAGCUUGGCGAUACGGAUAUGUAGAUCUCCUACCUUUGUAACCGAAUUUGUGUAACCCUAGCCCUCUCCGGUGUCUAUAUAAACCGGAUGGCUGUAGUCCAUAGGACGAACAACAAUCAUACCAUAGGCUAGCUUCUAGGGUUUAGCCUCCUUGAUCUCGUGGUAGAUCUACUCUUGUAACCACAUCAUCAAUAUUAAUCAAGCAGGACGUAGGGUUUUACCUCCAUCAAGAGGGCCCGAACCUGGGUAAAACAUCGUGUCCCUCGUCUCCUGUUACCAUCCGCCUAGACGCAUAGUUCGGGACCCCCUACCCGAGAUCCGCCGGUUUUGACACCGACAUUGGUGCUUUCAUUGAGAGUUCCUCUGUGUCGUCGCCGAUAGGCUCGAUGGCUUCUUCGAUCAUCAUCAACAACGCAGUCCAGGGUGAGACCUUCCUCCCCGGACAGAUCUUCGUAUUCGGCGGCUUUGCACUGCGGGCCAAUUCGCUUGGCCAACUGGAGCAGAUCGAAAGCUACGCCCCUGGCCGUCAGGUCAGAUUUGGAAGUCUGAACUUCAUGGCUGACAUCCGCGGGGACUUGAUCUUCGACGGAUUCGAGCCACAGCCGAGCGUGCCGCACUGUCACGUCGGGCAUGAUUUAGCUCUGCCGCCGGACAGUACCCUGGAGGCCGCACUCGAAACCGCUCCGAUCUUCAAAUCGGAGCCAGCUCCGCAGAUCGAGGAUGGAUGCCUAGACACCACCUCGGGGGCUGCAACCUCCACGGCGAUAGAGCCGAACGCUGACUUUGUCCCUCAUAAAGCUCGUGACUCCAAGGUGCCGGACUCCUCGCCGGACUCCGAACCUCCCGCGCCCGCCCUGAUCGAAUCCGAUUGGGCGCCGAUCAUGGAGUUCACCGCAGCGAACGUCUUUCAACACUCACCUUUCGGCGACAUCUUGAGUUCGCUAAAAUAUCUCUCGUUAUCAGGAGAGCCCUAGCCGGACUGCGGUUAGGACGGUUGGGAUGCGGACGACGAAGAAAUUCAAAGCACACCCACCACCCACUUGGUAGCCGCUGUCGACGAUUUAACCGACAUGCUAGACUACGACUCCGAGGACAUCGACGGUAUGGACGACGAUGCCGGAGGCGACCAAGAACCAGCGCCUAACGAGCGCAGGAAAGCCACCCCAGCCCACAACGUAUACAUGAUGGACACACCAAAAGGAAGCGACAAUGAGGAAAAAUGAGACGUGGCAAAGGACAACUCCCCCAACAAACAAACAAAGCGGCGACGCAAGCGCCGCCCGAAGACCGGCAUCGAUAAAAACGGCACCCAUAUGAACCCGGCCCUAGAGCAGGGCGAAGCAAUGGAUGACGCACACGUCAACAAGCAGCCAGCCGGACAUGAACCGGACAAGCAACCCAUCCCCGGCGAAGAUGAUCUCACAUCACCAGAGCAUAUGAAUCUUCAUAAAAGACUCGUCGCCACUGCAAGAAGUUUGAAGAAGCAAAAGCGGAAGCUCAAAACAGCGGAAGACGCACUCAGAAUGAGAUGGAGCAAAGUACUCAACACCGCAGAUAAAUAUGGCACUAGUCACCAGACAAAGAGCUACCCGAAGCGCAAGCUGUUGCCCGAAUUUGACGAGGAGGCCUUCAAGCCCCCGCAGUCAAAAAAGAAAGAGGCUGCCUGGCCGGAUAGACGACCAGAUGACAGGCCAAGAGCAACACGGGGCGCCACACACACGCCGACACAUGAUCAGCAUAAAGAUCCUCAGAAAAAGGAUAACCCGGCCAGGUCUAUCUAUGGGCCAAAAAAGAAGACUCCAGGAAGUAACACAACCAGCCGAGCAUUUGAAGACAACGGCAUACCCAAAUACAGGGGCGCCGCACACCCACUAUGUUUUACCGAUGAGGUACUGGAUCAUGGAUUUCCAGCGGGAUUAAACCCAUAAACAUAGAGGCAUACGACGGAACAACAGACCCCGGAGUCCGGAUUGAGGAUUAUAUCCUACACAUACACAUGGCAAGAGGAGACGAUCUCCAUGCCAUAAAAUACCUACCCCUCAAGCUCAAAGGGCCGGCUCGGCAUUGGCUUAAAAGCCUCCCAGAAAAUACGAUUGGAAGUUGGGAAGAGCUUGAGGAUGCGUUUCGAGAAAAUUUUCAGGGGACUUAUGUCCGGCCUCCGGAUGCAGACGAUUUAAGUCACAUAACUCAACAGCCCGGAGAAUCAGCAUGCAAAUUCUGGAACAGGUUCCUCACUAAAAAGAACCAAAUAGUCGACUGUCCGGACGCUGAAGCCUUAGCAGCCUUUAAACACAACGUCCGAGACGAAUGGCUCGCCAGACACCUCGGCCAGGAAAAACCAAGAACAAUGGCCGCACUAACAAGUCUCAUGACCCACUUUUGUGCGGGGGAAGACAGCUGGUUGGCUAGAUGCAGCACCAGCGACCCGAGUACAUCCAAAAUCAGGGAUGGAAAUGGGAAAUCACGACGCAGAAAAGAUCAGCGCCGGAAUAAGGAAAAUGGCCCAAAUAAUACGGCGGUCAACGCCGGAUUCAAAAGCUCUCGGCCGAACAACAAAACACUGCCCCUAAAGGCUAACAGUGACGAGCUAUCCAUCCUAAACAAGAUUCUGGACAGACUGUGUCAGAUACACGGUACCUCCGGGAAGCCUGCAAACCAUAUCCACAGAGAUUGUUGGGUCUUCAAGCAGUCCGGCCGACUUAACGCCGAACACAAAGGGCUCGACACACCAAGUGAAAGUGACGAAACCCAAAAGCAGCACUCCGGAAACCAAAAGACUUUCCCAUUAGAAGUCAAAACAGUGAACUCACUUCACGUGAUAACAUGCAGCGCGGCCCCUGCUAUACCAGAACACCGUCCGUGGACUGGGGAUAGAACCCACCAAAAUUCGCUAUAGCAGCACUUCCUUCGAAGGAGUGACGCCAGGCCUUCUUAGCCAAUUUUACAGGCUCUGUACCACUAGAGGUCGUGUUCGGUUCAUCCGACAACCUCCGUCGCGAAAAGCUCACUCUCCAUCGCCCCAUUUAGUAGUAGCCCUUAAGCACUACUGGGGCGUGCAGCUUUCGCCCGCUUUAAUGCAAUACCACAUUACGCGUCUCUUACGCUUAAAAAUGCCCGGUCCACGUGGCAUAUUCUUAAAACUCCAGGUAUCUCUCGACCACGGAGAAUAUGCGGCUGCCUCGACAGCCACACAUUAUUCCGACCUUGCAGGUCAAAGCCCCUAAAAACAGGUCAUUUAGACCUCGGACAUGGUUAGACGAGUCCGGCGUAACUUAACAAGGGGCUUCCCAGCCACAUACCCCUUUUUUAGGGGGUCGCGCGCAUAGAUGAUGAAAGCCAAUAAAGCUCAACUUUCUUCAUCUUCCAAAUUAUACUUUAUUUUUGAUACACUUUUUGCACGAUAUUUCUUAGAAACUAAGUCCUUCUCUUUUACAGAUGAAGCACGUGCUACACCCGUCCAGGAUACAGCACAACGGAGACACAGGCGCAGACGUGCAGUAGGGACCCGUUGCAAGGAUUCUUUUCAGAUUAAGACCCUGCGUAAACCUUUCUUACUGUCUCUUGUUGAUACACAUCCACCGGUUUCCUACCAGAGCCGAGGAGGAGGCUGGCGUUUUGGCAUCGGCCGCGUCAGAAGUUCCCGCCUGUACCUGGACACUAGGGGCUUAGGGCUUUAUUCUGCCCGAUAUCAUAAAGACCGAACACCUCAGGGAGUGUUCGGCGUCUCGAGUUAGGCCUUAUAUGCAUCAGCUCCGAAUCAUGUCUUUGGUCAAAUGUUGGGUUUGCCCGGCUCCUGUGUUUUGCUGCCUUACGUUCCGUAUCAUCGGCUAACGCGGCACCAGGAGAACUACUGCGAUUGUGCCCCGGUUCGGCCGGGAGAGCACCUCAGUAGAGAAAGCCGAAAACUGACUGUCAUGAUAUAGCGAGAGACUGGUCAACCAUUCGAUCGACCAUUGGAAUGUUUAGAAUUCCUCCGCUUUGACGAAGGACCGCUUCCCGGUCAGGCACAUACGCGCCCCGAGUUCAGAGAAGCGCGGUGCCAUCAGGGGCUAUAUAGUAGCCCCACAUUCGAGCUCCUAUGGCUAAGUGAAAGUGAUAAAGCAUUAUAGUCCGGUUGCCUAGUUUGCUAUGCUAUCACCUCCUUAAAAGGACCAAGACGUUGGAUUAAGUGUGAAAAAACGUUUUUCUUUUUGCAAACACCCCCGCACCAUGUGCAUGGGGGCUGAAGCCAAAGACUGUCAUCUUUCAGAUUAUACAUACAUAUACGGUCGCACAGGAGAUAGUUCAAUACUUGAACACACAAGUAUAAAAAGUCAUUGCAUUAUAAACGUGAUCUUAGAAAUCAUACAUGUCAUUCAAACAUAACAUCUUUCGAGCACUGCGACUCUAUUAUACGAGCGCCCUGCAGGACUUUCUCAAAGUAAUGCUCGGUGGGGAAUCGGCUUUUGUCCAAACCCCGGGAUGCAACAGCGGUGGCAUCCAUCUCUGCUCAGUAUGUUUUACCACGGGCGAGAGCCAUCCGUGCACCUUCUAUGCAUGCCGACCACUUCAUCGCCUUAAUAUGCGGCACUGCCCCAAGGAAUUACUGCAACAAGCCAAAAUAACUCUUCGGCUUGGGUCUUCCCGGUCACAGAUGAGUGACCACAUCCGUCAUGGCAAGUCCGGACAAUCUAUUUAGCUCAGCCCACUCAACCAGCCGAUCACUCAGCGGAAGUUGACGCUCCGGACUAUGGAAUUGAGACCAGAAAAGCUCAUCCAUUUCGUGACCCUUCUGGCUUCGGAAGUGCACGACUGCGUCCGCCGCACUCGUUGCCAAGUCUAGAUAAGGAUCCUCCGCACCAUACAAUCGGCCAAACUGAGCAUACUUCGGAUCCGUGAACUUCCUGCGCAGCAUAAAGGGCUUCCCAGCCACAAUGUCUCGGAUUUGACGCAGUUCCUCCUUCAUAGCCCGCAUCGCACUACGGGCAUCCUUGGCUUCGGCGUCGGCCUUCUUCAGGUCCUCUUGUUUCGCUCGACGUUCUCUUUCAAGAACCUCCUGGCGGUCGGUAGCAACUUUUAAUUUCACGGCCAUUCCGGCCAUCUCCUCCCUGCUUCGGCAGUGAGCAGCCUUCUCGGCUUCUAGCUCUUCCGCUGCCUUCGAGGCAGCCGCCUCGCUUUUUCUGGCUUGCUCCUUGGCCCGAGCAAGUUCUGCUCGAAGGUCUUCCACAGCGGCAGCACCAUCUGCAUCUAGCAUACAAUUUGUAAGGAAUGGGCGUCAGCUCCCUUACUAAGAAACCGCGGAGCAACCACAUACCUUGUGACUCAUCAAGUUGUCUAUUGACCAGCGAGAUGUCCGCAUCAGCAGUGUCGAGUUGCUUCUUCAGCUCGGCAAAUUCAUCAGUCUGGCUGGCCACCGAACGUUCCGCCACCUGCAUGGUAAAGGCGACAGUUAAUAACUGAGAUUAUGAUCCUAGGCACGCUGUCGUUUUCGACAGCAUACCAAGUCUCAGGGGCUACUAUCUAUACAGUGCGCACUUCAUGUGCAAAACUGUCAACAGGUAUGUCAUUUUUUGCGUACCUCAAAUCCCGUCAGUAAACUUCUGACGGCCUCAUACAAGCCGGUUUCGGCGGACGAGAUCCUCUCAAUCACACCACCCAUUAAUACGCGGUGAUCUUCUGAGAUGGACGCCCUCUUAAGCAAAUCCGGCAGCUCCACCGGCCGUACUCCAAUGGGCGCCGAACUCUCCGGCCCUGCCGGACUCAGGGAGACCCUCCGCGACGACACCUCAGGGUCGUCCGCCCCCGCGCGAUGGGGCGGCAGAUGGAGGCGUUUCGCUUUCCAUCAUCUCCGGACGAAGGUCUCCCGAAGAUGAGCUGUGCUGAGAUGGGCUGAGAUCUGAACUACAAGGUAAAAACUUCGGUUACCUUUAGACAUUAAGCAGGGGUGUCUGAUAAUUAUAAAAUCCCCCCUUUUUUCACUUACGGCUCGUUAGAGGGCUGAUUCCUCCGAGGAGAUAGUACGGCCGGGGCGCUUUCUGGCGCAGGACCUUCCGGUACAGAUUUCUUUCCCCGCUUUGAGGCCUUGGCCUCCGGGUCUUCGGAAGCGUUCCUCUUCUCCCCCUGGAGGGAGGGACUCUCGAUUCCUCCCUUACUAAAAACCUCCUUGGUAGAGGUGACAGUUUCCCCGUGCCCCCCUUCGCCCUCAUUCGAAGGUGCGACCUCCAACGUUUUGAUUAACACGGGAUCCUGCGUGGUCUCAGGGAGGGGGGCCGGACACCGUAUCAGUUUUGCUUGCGCUAUCCACUCCUGUCCAGGGAUAGCUGGUUAAAAGGCAAGCUCACGAUAAAUAAAUGGACGGUGUGUCCGGACACAGGGCUACUUACUUGAGUAUCCGGGCGAUUGCAGCUUAGGCCAGCGUCCUCAGUCAAUUCUGGAUGCGUCUCUUGCGAUCCGAAGAACAGUUUAUACAUCUCCAUGGGAGUCAAACCCAUGAAGUGUUGAAGAGCUCGUGGCCCCUCCGGAUUAAAUUCCCACAUGCGGAGGGGGCGACGUUUGCAGGGUAGUAGGCGCCGGAUCAACAUGACCUGCACCACUGCGACCAGAUUGAUCUCCCUUUCUUGGAGGCCUCGAAUCCGGUCCUGCAAUAGGGGGACGUCUUUGGGCGGCCCCCAGUCACGCCCCUUGUUGACCCAUGACGUCAGCUGCUGUGGAGGGCCCGAGCGAAAGACGGGCGGCGGCUUCUGCCUGCUGCCCCGGGGAGCGGUGAUAUAAAACCACUCAUGUUGCCACAAGCCGAGCUCCUCCUGGAAAGAGCCCUUGGGCCAUGGAGCUUAGACUCUCUUGCUUACAACCGCCCCGCCGCACUCUGCCUGACGCCCCUCAACCAUCUUCGGCUCCACGUUGAAGGUUUUGAGCCACAAGCCGAAGUGAGGGGUAGUGCGGAGGAAGGCUUCGCAGACGACAAUGAAUGAUGAGAUGUGGAGGAUGGACUCCGAAGCCAGGUCGUGGAAUUCUAGCCCAUAGUAAAACAUGAGCCCCCUCAUGAAAGGAUCCGUCGAGAAGCCUAAACCCCAACGGAAGUGAGACACGAACACGACGCUCUCGCCAGGCUCGGGAGUUGGGAUAACUUGCCCUCGGGCAGGCAGCCUAUGCGAAAUUUCGUAGGUUAAGUACCUGGCGUCUCUCAGCUUUAGCACGUCCUCCUCCGUGAUGGAGGAGGGCAUCCACCGGCCUCGUAGGUCAGGACCGGACAUUGUCGAAGAUCGAAGGUACCUGAAUUUGGAGCCCUGGGUGUUGGAACUCGGGGAGAGGGGCGGAUUCGAUAGAGGAUUGAAUAAAAAGAACGGGCCUUGGUCUCAUUAUAAAGAGGAAGAAUACCAAGAGCCGUCCCCGUGACCGUUUGGAACCCGCCUUCGAUGGAGGGGGCGUGGCAACGGGCGCGGUUGGGUUACCCACGUCCGUAUUGAUGGGAAUCCCGGAAUAAGGGGAGCACGAUCUCUGCUUCGACAAGACGUGCCAAGGAAACCGCCUCACUAAACGCGCUGAGGUGGAACAAUAAAAACAAUUCGAGUAAAGACUUGGAAGUGGUGUGAUGUCACGCCACAGAAUACGUCAGCAGAUUGAUCUUGUGUAAUAUUAUUCUCUCUAAGGUGGUAUGUGGAAUUCAUUUUUGCAGAGCCGGACACUAUCCUGGUGUUCACAAUCUUCUAUAAAUUAUUCGGAGGAGGAACCCGCCUUGCAAUGCCGAAGACAAUAUGCGCGCCGGACUCGUCGUCAUUGAAGCCUGGUUCAGGGGCUACUGAGGGAGUUCCGGACUAGGGGGUGUCCGGAUAGCCGAACUAUCAUCAUCGGCCGGACUCCAAGACUAUGAAGAUACAAGAUUGAAGACUUCGUCCCGUGUCCGGAUGGGACUUUCCUUGGCGUGGAAGGCAAGCUUGACGAUACGGAUAUGUAGAUCUCCUACCUUUGUAACCGACUCUGUGUAACCCUAGCCCUCUCCAGUGUCUAUAUAAAUCGGAUGGCUGUAGUCCAUAGGACGAACAACAAUCAUACCAUAGGCUAGCUUCUAGGGUUUAGCCUCCUUGAUCUCGUGGUAGAUCUACUCUUGUAACCCACAUCAUCAAUAUUAAUCAAGCAGGACGUAGGGUUUUACCUCCAUCAAGAGGGCCCGAACUUGGGUAAAACAUCGUGUCCCUCGUCUCCUGUUACCAUCUGCCUAGACGCACAGUUCGGGACCCUCUAUCCGAGAUCCGCCGGUUUUGACACCGACAGCCAGCAAGCUUAAUGGCCGGUCACACCCAAACUCAAGGACCUGCAACACACAACAUAUGCUCAAUCAGGAAAUCAUAUUGACCAGGCGAGUAUGCACAUCCAGGCCAGGAUAAUCUAACUUCCAGAACCUAAAGAUGUGAAAGGUCGCAAUAUCAAGUUCAUCAAUCAGACAUGUAUCAAGUGACCAGGCCCAACCACCACCAGCAAGAAUGCAACAUGAAGAGAGAGUGCUGCCAAGGGAGGAUGCGGCCAGGGGAGGAGCAAGACCAAGUCCGCGCUGCCAAGGGAGGAGGCGGCCACGCCGGGCCGGAGGACGCAGCAGCCAGUCAGAAGGGGGGGGGGGUCGCCAGAUCGGAUCUGGGCCGGCCAAGCCGCACGC
RNAcentral lists this long non-coding RNA (10290 nucleotides) under Triticum aestivum (bread wheat). Its description in RNAcentral is "long non-coding RNA (TAES_LNC026883)". The record is from RNAcentral. Lineage: Eukaryota; Viridiplantae; Streptophyta; Magnoliopsida; Poales; Poaceae.